RNAcentral lists this ribosomal RNA (199 nucleotides) under uncultured bacterium. RNAcentral's name for it is "partial 16S ribosomal RNA". It matches the Rfam family "Bacterial small subunit ribosomal RNA", at positions 326 to 539 of the family's 1533-position model. The record is from RNAcentral.
ACGCUCGACACCUACGGAAGGCAGCAGUCGGGAAUAUUGCGCAAUGGAGGAAACUCUGACGCAGUGACGCCGCGUAUAGGAAGAAGGUUUUCGGAUUGUAAACUAUUGUCGUUAGGGAAGAUACAAGACAGUACCUAAGGAGGAAGCACCGGCUAACUAUGUGCCAGCAGCCGCGGUAAUCUGAGCGGGCUGGCAAGGC